Molecule: long non-coding RNA, 1669 nt
Organism: Felis catus (domestic cat)
Lineage: Eukaryota; Metazoa; Chordata; Mammalia; Carnivora; Felidae
Exons: 3
Source: RefSeq, a predicted model, not a curated record
GGCAGUCGAGCAGUCGAGGCUAGGCAAGUUCUGAGGAAAUGCAGUCCCUCCCCUUUCCUCUUUUUCCACCCCCUAGCUAUAUACAGCUCUAGAUGCAGACCUAGACCUCUGCAAAACAAUAAAGCGGAAGAAAUUUGGGUCUGCCCAUGUGCUCUUACUGCACUGCGUCCUCCCCUCAUCUCCUUUCUGAUCUUUAUGUUUUUCUGUCUCUCUUUGUUUCCCCCGUCAACACAUACACGCGGUGCGAAAGAUACCAGCCACAGCAUCUUAAGACUUAAAGGUUAUCCAACCCCAUCCUCCCACUGCUGCUUCAACAAUGUGCUUAACGCGUAGUGCUGCAAUCACUGCUUAGCUAUCAGAUAUAUUUUAAAGAACUCAAGAGGAGAAGACAAGGCUAUUAUAUUUACCAAGGCACAUCCCAAUGCCAUCCCUCCUAGCCAAUGAUUGGCUAUCCUGAAAAUUCUAAUUCUUUAAUACCUCUCAGCUCUGAACACUGAACCAAACUCCAACUGAAUUAGGAAGAAAUAGAAAAUUUGAACAUACUGAUUACUAGUAAUGAAAUUGAAUUAGUAAUAAAAAAAUUCACAACAAAGAAAACUCCAGGACCAAGUGGCUUCACAGGUAAAUUUUAUCAAAUAUUUGAAGAAGAGUAAACACUCAUUCUUCUCAGUUAUUCCAAAAAUAGAAGAGGAACUAAGAUUUCCAAAUUCAUUUCACAAGGCAAGCAUUACCUUGAUACCCAAACUAAACAAAACAUUACCAAAAAAGAAAAUUACUGGCCAAUAUCUUUCAUGAACAUAGAUGAAAUAACCAUUAGCAAACCAAAUUCAACAACACAUUAAAAGAAACACUGACCAGGAUCAAGUGGAUUUUAUACCAGAGAUGAAAUAAUCGGCAUGAUACAUUGCAUUAACAAAAUGAAAGAUAAAAAAUAUGAUCAUCCAAGAGAUGCAGACAUAGCAUUUGACCAAAUACAACAUCCUUUCAUGGUAAAAACUCUCAACAAAAUGGGUUUAGAGGUAACAUACGUUAAUCAAUGUCAUAUAUGAGAAACCCACAGCUAACAUCAUACUCAAUGAUGAAAAACUGACAGCUUUUCCUCUAAUAUCAGGAAUAAUACAAGGAUGUCCACUCUCACCACUUUUAUUUAACAUUAAACUGGAAGUCCUAGCUGCAACAAUCAGACAAGGAAAAGAAAUAAAAGUCACCAAAUUGGUAAGGAAAAAGUAAAAUUUUACUAUUUGAAGAUGACAUGAUUAUUUGUAUAGAAAACCAUAACAACUUGACCAAAAAACUACUAGAACUGAUUAAUGAAUUCAGUAAGGUCACAGAAUACAAAAUCAUUCUACAGAAAUUUGUUGCAUUUCUAUACACUAAUAAUGAAGCAACAGAAAGAUAAAUUAAGAAAGCAGUCAUGGUACAGAAGAAGCCCACGGAAGAGGGUAGGAAGAGUGGAGAGGCGGUGUGUGCUACACGGACUGGCAGGAGGGAGCCGGGCAGUGGAGGGGCAGCCCACCGGGCAAGGCAGACCCCCCGAAGUCUGGGGCUAAGCCCCAGACCUUAGCCUCUACUACAAAGCUGUAAUCAUCAAGACAGCAUCGUAUUGGCACAAAAACAGACACACAGACCAAUGGAAUAGAAUAGAGACUCCAGAAUUGGACCCACAAAA